GGCACAUUGAAUAUGUGUGUACCUUACUCUAUGCAUCUGAGACUUCACUUCCUCUAUGUUUCACAGGCCUCAUUCUGUCCGCACCCCCUUCAUUGACGUCCUAUCCCCAGUUCCUCAGACGAUAACCAUGUUUGGAGAUGUCUUUUAAAGAGGUGAUGAAGAUAAAACGAGGAUGUUGAGAUCGAUCCUGAUCCAACCUGACUGCAGGUGUCCUUGUAAGCAGAGGGAAUUUGGACACACAGAGGGGACACUGGGGACAGAAGAAAGACCAUCAAGGACACUCCUCGGCAAGACAAGGAGAGAGGCCCCAGAGUCAAAUCAACUGUGCUGACUCCUCGAUUCUGGACAUCCACCUUCAGAACCGUGAGUUGAUGGUUUUUGUGUUCAAGUCACCAAGGCCGCAGUAAUUUGUCACGCAGCCACAGAAACACUACAGAAGAGAAAGUGGGUUUUGUUUUCUUUAACCAGGGAUUGAGCCCAGAGAUUCCUAACCACUGAGCCACAUCCCCAGUCCUUUUUAUUUAUUUAUUUAUUUAUUUUUAUUUUGAGACCAGGUCUUGCUGGAAAAGGAAGGUUUUAAAGACCUCGCUCUGGUUUUCCAUUCCUGUCUAACAAGCUACCCUAAAGCUUAGGAAGGGACGAUGAUGGUUUUAUUUUGCAAAUGACCUUGUGUUUAAUAAAGAGUCCAAACCAGCGCUUGGUAUUUUCCGUGUUGCUUCGGCUGGAGCUGGGGACCCACCCUUGCUCCCACUCUGCUCCCUGGCAUGGCUGCCCGCUCUGCCGGGUGGACUGGGCAGCUCAGCCUGGCCUGAUGACUGGGGCCUUUGAUUUACUUCUGGGGAGUCUCAUGGGCUCCCUGGGUCUCUUCCCAGGGUGGUGGCUGGAUCCCUAGAGUGGGUGUUCCAGGGGGAAGCAGAGCAGAGCUUCCGUCUCCUGCGGCCUGGGUGUGGAAGGUGGGAGCCCGGUGCUUGGGCUCUGUUCUAGUGUCCAGCAAAGCUACUAGGACCAGUUCAGAUCCAGGAGAGGGGUGCAGAACCCACCAGGAAAUGAGAGGAACGGUGAAGAAUUCACUGGCAGCUUUAAUCUAUUACGAACGUGAUCGCACAAAGACGUGAUUCCCACAUGUAGGAGGUGAUCACAGAAUCCCAGGUUUGGAAGAUGAAAUAAACUCACUGAGAAGAACUGAGAAGUGGACUCUUGAGCACAGAGAGGGGAACCAGUGGAGUCCACCUAAUAUGCACCAUUGCAUCCUCAAAUACUCCGGAGUGGAGACCUCACGUCCCUCUGGAACUGGAGGCAGAGGUGCAGGGAAAACAGAGAUGGGGUGUGAACUGCAAUAGGGAAGGACCCCUGCUCCUGGGACCCCCUCCCAGCCCAGGCUGCAGGACGUCUACCUUAACAGCAAAGGGGGUGCUGACCGACUGGAGAAGGCAGUCCCUAGCAUUUGCAGUGGGACCCACGUUAGGGGGCAGGGGUCCUCUGCGGGAGACCUGGUUUAGCUGAUCUCACCGCCAUCAAAUGCUAGGACCCUCCGACCCUGUGCCAUCUUUUCCCAUGGCCUCCAUUUUGCUGGAGCAAUGGCAGAAGAGGCCACCCUAGCAGGGAGGGCAGGACUCCCUAGAGCCCCAGGCUGCAGCCCCAUCUGGCAGAACUACCAGUGUGGGCCACGCUGGGUGGAGCCACUGGGAGGUGGGAACCGUGUCCCUCCCCAUGGGGCCUGGGGGUGGGACUGCUCUGUCCCAGUGGGCCCAGAUGGCAGAGCACAAGCCAAAGAACACCUCUGAACACUUGACCACCCCAUAAAGCUGGCCUUUGCUGUUUGGAGCUUGCCAGGGGCCCUGCACCUCUUCCUUCAUUUCUAUUUCUCCAUUGUAGAGUGGAGUUGUGGGUCUUCUGUCUGUCCUGUCUGUCCUGCCAUUGUACUUUUUUUUGUUUGUUUGUUUGUUUUGUUACUGGGGAUUGAGCUCAGGGGCACUGGACCACUGAGCCCCAUCCCCAGCCCUAUGUUGUAUUUUUUUAGAGACAGUGUCUCACUGAGUUGGUUAGCACCUCCUAAGUUGCUGAGGCUGGCUUUGAACUGGUGAUCCUCCUGUCUCAGCCUCCUGAGCCUCUGGGAUUACAGGUGUGCACCACUGCACUUGGCUCUGCUGUUGUACUUUUGCUUAUGUGUGUGGUGCUGGGCAUUGAACCCAGGGCCUCAUGCGUGCAAGACAAGUAUCCUACCACGGAGCUACACUCACACUCCCUGUCCCCUUUUUGAGGUGUGUCUCGCUGUGUUGCCCAGGGUGGUCUCAAACACUGUUUUUCCCCUGGGAGCUGAGACCAUAAGCCUGUACCCCACCCUGUCACACUGUUGUAUUUUGGAAGCACUUAGGUGGUUUGGUUUCACAGGUUGGAAGGUGGGGAGGAAUCUGCUCAGGAUGAGUUAUUCUCUGAGUCUCACCCGUAGCUGAUUUAGACAACAUGCUUGGAAUUGGAGUUUAAAAUUGAAGCUGGAAUGAUUUAAGAAAUUUGGGGUGGUUGGGACGGAACAAACAUACUUUACAUGCAGAAAGGACAUGGGGGGGCUGGGUUGGGUUGUAAUGGACUGAAUAUUGUGUCGCUCAAAAUUCAUCUCAUGUGUUAACAUCUGGACCCUCGAACGUGAUGGUACAUGGAGACGAGGGCUUGGGAGACGGUUAGAUUAGGUCAUGAGGGUAGGGUCUUUAUGGUGGGAUCAGUGCCCUUCUAGGAAGAGUGGGGGACAUGAGACCUGUCCCUGCCUGCUGGCUGCCAUAAGAAGAUCCUCACACACCAGGAAGAGUGCCCUCACCAGACCUGGCACCUGCAGUGCCCUGAUCCUGAAUGUCUCAGCCUCCAGAGCUGUGAGAAAGUUUGUUAAUUAAGCCACCAGCCUGGGUAAUUUGUCACCAGAGCCCAAAUCAGCCAAGACAACCAGGAAACUCUUUACUACGCUGUUGCUCUCUGGCACUUUAUAAAAACUGUUGUUGCCUAAAUUUUUUUUGAUGAUUUUCUUUAGCAGGAAAUGGCUCUGCCCACCUUAGGUUGACCCUGCAGCCUUGGUUUCCCGACCUGCUCUGUCACCCCCUGGGGAAGGCGAUGCAGGGGCCGCUGGUCUGGGGAGGGGCUGAGCAAUGCGAUGGCGUUAUAACCAGUCCCAUAGAGGACCUUCGGGUGCUCCUGGGCCCUUCAGUCAAAGCCCAGCUGCCUUCUGAAUCCUGCUGGAUGUCACUGUGUGCUGGACACUCUCUGGUCCAAGCUUGACUUGGAAGGAGAGCCUUUCACGGUUAUCUCAGCACCCAAGGGAUGUGAAUUUGAUUCUCUUUUCAUCCCAUCAUCUCAACAGCAAAAGCACUGGAGGAUUUUGUUCUGAGAUCCUGUUCUGCAUCCUUGGCUCUCUCCCGACAAGGCACAAAACUGCGGUGAGCUGGGUCAUGUGACUUAAAAGAGGAAAUUAAAUGAAGUUUAAACCCGGAGCGAGUCUUAUCUGGGGAAUGCUGCAGAUAGCAGAACAAUUAUUCAGAGCAAUGAAGGGACCAAAGGGGCCAUCCUGCAGGUGUUCCCAUAUUGUCCCUGGGCUCCGGGCAGAGAAUGGAGGGAAAACGUGGAAAAGUUUUGAACCUGAAUGUCAGAGGCCCUGUGACAUUAUCACCCCUCAGGGCGAAUGUGUCCCGGGCAUUGUCCUUUUCUGUUGGAACAAGCUCCAGGAUUCUCACUGCUACCCUUGGCUCACAGAGGGUCAGUGACUGCUCGGAGCAGAAGGAGAUUGGGCAGUGCAGAGAGGGCUUCAGGAACAGCCCAGACCUGGAGUGACCGGCACUGGAAACCUCUCCCCUCCUCCUUGGGAGAGACAUCUGACUUUUGUUUUUUGAAGUUUUGAGCUAUCUUGUUUAGUUUCUGACCCUCUGCCUUCUAAACGCUUCCCACUGUGAGUCUGAGGAGGAGACAGUGUCCCUUUUCUCCUUAUGAAGGCCAAAGAGAGUGUGUGAGAAGCUUGCUCCCUGCUCCUGGAGGCCCAGGCAGGACACAGGAGGGUCGAGAAAGUGCACUAUCCUUGCUUGUCCUAGUCAUGUGACAAAGGCUUAGUGUCUUGGCCCCUCUGUUACGUCCUCUCUUCCUAGUGGCCCUCCCUUGCUCCUCACCAAGACAAGAAGCAAAACUGAGCCAAUGGAUGAGUCUGGAAGUGGAAUUUGAGCACGGCUGGCCGGAUUCUUUCAUCUUCUUCUUUGGCAUCUAAAUCCUCGCAAACUCUACCCCUUGGCCUCCUGCCUCUGUGAGCAGGGGAGAGAGGGAGGGCCAUAGUUGCCCACCUGUGUCUGCCCCUGGGUUGGGCGGGUCUGUCCGGUUCAGGGUGAGAUGUUAGCCAUGCCACUUAGCUUCAGACCUAAAGCCAGUUAUUCCAAGAGUCGUAUCAGUAAUAAAGAAAAAUACUUCAGUCUCCAGCUGCCUGAGUUUUUAGUUUUAUUCUUAAUUUGUUCCAAAAUCUGGAGGGGAAAAAAGAUAUUGUUUAUUGGUUUUUGAACAAACCUCGUAUCUUAAUUCACAGAGCUACGAGAUACGGGAUUUGUGCAGUGGACAGAGUGAAGCUGGGAAAGUGGGGGGAGUUGCACAGAUGUGAAGCCUUCUCACCUCUGUCCUGAUCACACGGUCCACGGUGGGGGCUGACCCAGGCAGCUCUCUGCAGGCCUUGUCUAGAGGAAGUAACCGAUGCUCUAUGGCUGUGGCCGACCUUGCCAAAUGUGGACCUUAGGUCUUAACAAAUCUGGCCCUUUGGGUACACGCUGAUAUUGCUGACCGCAGCUGACUUCAAGUAAGGCUGACACAAGGAUUAAAUCAUUUUAGGAUUUAGUAGGUUGGAAAUAUCUGGUGUUUACUGUUUUUCUCAGAAAGGACCCAUUGAACUCUGAACAAGUGAGUUUCCUUCUAGCACAAACACAGAACACUAUAUCACCUAUAAUGAAUUCUGUUCUCCUCUGGGUAUUCUGAAUACUAUUUAAGGUCAAGAGAGUCACCUUGUCACUGUGUAAGGGCUGAUCCCUGUCUCAGAGUUGAUUCCCCAGAGACCCCAAUGUUUGUCAAAUUGUCUCUACUUCUCUGAGACAGACUGUCAUAGACAGUUUUAUGUGGCUCUAACAAAAUGCCUCAGGCUGGAAGAUUUAUCAAGAAAAGAGGUUUGCUUGGCUUAUAGUUUCUCGAUGUCCAAAAGCAUGGAUCCUCUUUGGCUUCUGGUGAGGGUCUCAUGGUGAUGGCAUCCCAGGGUGGGAAGGCAGGCUGGGGAGUGAGCUGACACAUUUGCAGAGGUAACCGUGGCUCCCCACCACUUGCUCUCAACAACUAGCCCGUUCCAGGAGAGCCAGACCAGUCCUGUGACACCUCCCUGAGUCUCCAGAAAGACAUUGAGCCAUGCGUGCACGAUGGGUUGCUCCCAUGACCUAGUUAUCUCUUGAAGGUCCCCCUGCCUCUACACCACUACAAGGGGAAUCAAAUCACAACUAGCAUUUGGGUGGGAACCACCCACAGCCACACCACAGCAUAGAUCCCCUCUAGAAAAUUCUAGAUACUUGUUAGUAAGAAAAACAUAGAGAUUUCCAAUUCCAGGGAAGACCAAGAGCACACGUUCCACCGGCUCCUCCCACUGGACACAAACACAGACCUGGACAGAACGUGCUGAGUGGUUAUCAGGAGGCUCCGAGCAGUGAAGGGAACAGGAGAGGACCACGGAGACAGGCCUCCGAGGCAGCUUCACACUCAGAAGAGCACACUGGUGUGAACAGAAAGAGCACCUGCCCUCUCUGUCCAGUCCCAGGGUCAGAAGGACGGUGCCUGAGGAUUCUCUGCUUUUCUUUCUUUCUGUCUUGACUCUCCACUGCUGCAGCCCAGUGAUCCAUCAGCAAUGGCUGCAGUAAAGGACUGAAGAGGGACCAGGGAGAGAUCUUCUGAGAAGAAAACGCUUCUGCCCCCAGGCAGUUCAGUACAGUCCCGUCCAGUCCCCAGAGGGAGCCCACGUCUCCACUGCUGUUUUCUUUUGUCCCGAUGCUGCUUGGUUCCAGAUAGAGACAUAAUUGCAGGAGGUAGAUGUCCAAGGGAGGCCAUAGAAGCCAUGCUGUUAACCAGAGAGUUGGAAAGGCAAGCGCGAUGGUUUCUAAGAGAUCGCAGAGAUCAGAGGGCUCAAGUGAGCAUCCUCCUAGGGUCCUGAUUGGACUCAAUGAAACCAGGAGCUUAUUGUUGAAAAGAUCAAUAACAUCGAUCCAUCUCGCUGGGCUGACAAAGAGAAAAGCAGAGAAAACGCAAAUUAGCAAUAUCAGCAACAGAAGAGGAGGCACACUUGAGUGGUGCCCUAGAGACCUUAGGAAGGUAACGGGGACUCUACGAACAGUCCACGUGCACCACUUUGAUAGUGUGCAAAAUUACUUUAAAGCCACAAACUAUAGACGCUGUCUCAAAAAGGACUAUGUUACGUGAUUUUUCUUACAUCUAUUAAGGAGAUUGGACACUUAAUAAAAUAACAAGCCUUUCAGAAAGGCAUCCCCUGGUCUUGAAAUACUUUUGGGCAUGGAAAUUCUGCCAGACAUUUAAAGAAAUAUCUCCAGUUUUGUAUAUAAUUACUUCCAAAAGAAGAUGAGGUUCGAGAAAAUCCCAAAUCCAGCAUUACCCUGGUACAAAACCAGACACGAAUGCUCGAGGAAAACCAGAGAUUCAUAUGUUUAUAAACAUAGAAAUAAACAAAAAUUCCAUCAAAUAUGGCACUGCCAUUUGAACAUGGUUUGUCCCCACCAAAACUCACGUUGGGACUCUGUCCCCAGCGGGAGAGUGUUGAGAGGUGGCGGGGCCUCGGAGGUGAGCGGGUCACAGAGCCCUCUGCCCUCCUGAAUGGAUGCAUAUCAUUCUCAAGAGUCUGAGUUAUUUCUUCAGGGAAUGGAUUAGUUCUUAAGAACUUGGCCUCUGUUGCUACAUGCUUUUUCCUCCCUCACUUACUUCCGCAAUCAACUUCUCCACCAUGGUAUGAUGCCACACAAGGCCCUCACCAGGAGCCAAGAAGAUGUUUUCACCUGCUCUUGGACCUCAGGAUGGUGAGCUCAAUAAAACUCUUUUCUUUAUAAAGUAGGCAGACUUGGGAAUUUUGUCAUAGCAGCAUCAAAUGGAGGAAGGCAUCUAGGCAUAUGUAAGAAGAAAAAUAUAUUGCAGUCAAAUGGGUUUUAUCCUGUGAAAGUAAUGUUAGAAAGCCGAUCUGUCUAAUCCACCAUUAUUAACAGUCUAAAUAAACACACUCACACACACACACACACACACACACACCAUCUUAUCCACAGGUGCAGGAAAAACAUUAGAAAUAUUUGAUGUCCAUUAUAAAGAUUUUAAGCAACUAGAGUUUAGAAGGAAACUUCACUUAAAGGGCAUUUAUACAAAACCUUUUAGCUAAGAUUACAUUUAGUGGGAAAAGCCUGAACCCUUUUAUCUUAAGUUUUGUAAACAGUAUGAUGCUGUUCAUCACUAAAUACUAUCGGACAUAAUACUGGGAGGUCAAGCCAGUGUGAUAAAGCAAGAGAGAUGCACUUAAAAUGGAAAGGAAGAGAUAAAAUUGUCCCCAUGAGCAGUUGAUAUGAUUGUCUGGGUAGAAUCUCUUGAGAAAUCUACAAAACAUCAACAAAAGCUCCUACAACUAAUGAGUUUAGCGUCACAGAAGACACAGAACUCAUCACAUUUCUAUAUCCUAGCAAUGAUUGGAACGAAAGCAUAAAGAUCUUCAAAUAGCUCUAAACACUAAGUAAUUAGAUCUGUUGAAAACUACGAGGCUUCUAUCAGUGAAACCAAGAGGAUGUGAAUACAUAGGGACAGAACUUCCCAAGUGACCCAGCAGCCCCACUUCUAGGUACUCAUCCUGGAGAAAUAAAAACAUAUGCUCACACGAAGACCUAUACCUUGGGGUUUAUAGCAAUCAUUAUAAUAAUUGCCAAGAGUAGAAAAAAAUCCCCCCAAAGCUUCCGUGGUUUGUGGAUGAAACAAAUGAUGACAUAUUCCUACAAUGGACAGUUAGGGGCUAGGUUACGGGCAAGGACAGAGGGAAGCCUCCAAGGUACUGGGCUGGUCUCAAAUGCCACAUGAGGUGUGAGCGGGUUCACGCCACAUUCGGGCGGAGGCAAACUAGCUCCACAGAGCGUGGAUCCCCCAGGGUGAUGGUCAUGGUGGAGGAGGGUACCCAGGGCAGUGGUGCAGACUAGGGGUCGUCGGAACUGUCCUGUCCCUCCUGUGAGGCUCUGGAGACACAAAUCUAAUUCAUUGAAAAUGUUUACACCUUUCUUUUAAAAAAUACCAGUUUUCGUGUAGGUUAAUUUAAAAACAUACACGUGGAACCAACCACGAAAGGAAGCAGAGGCAGAGAAGAGAGGCACUUGGAUUCCUUAACCAUGCUCAUCCUAUGGACCUCAGAGGCGGGGACUAAUUGUAAAAGCAUGUUUAAAUGUUGGAGGCUAAGCUGAGCCUUAAAAGUUGAUAGAGAGCAGAUGGGGAAAAAAAUCCUCAUUUUUGCAAGACAAAGAAAUGGUACUUGAAACCUGGAACGCCCUUUUUCCCCCCAUCUUCUUUUCCUUAAGGCUACAAAGAAAGAGAGAUGGCAUUUCCUGGGCCCCCAGUGGUGCAGACAUCAGACAGAUCAAGUUCAGUUUAAAUUAAAGGUUCCAGGGAGAGGGAUUCUGUAGUCAGGAAAAAAAAAUCUGGGAACAGAGUAAGACCUUUAUGCUCUGUUAUUUAUGAGGUAGGUUAUUUAUCCCAGGCAAUUCCAUAUCAAGAGGCACUGACAAUGGCUAAUGUAACCCAGGACGGGGAAAAAACCCUGCUCAUUAGAAACCACUAGACAAAAGCUGUGCUGAUUUCAGUCCCGAGAUGCUCAGAAGCCUCUCGGCUCUUAGAGAACAGAUUGGCAUCAGAUGGUUUCGGAUGUAAAUCCGGAGGAGAAAGCUGUUCUCGUUGCUUUGGGGAUGAGGCUGAGCAUGCCAGCACUUAAGCUAGCCUUCAAGGUGUGUCUGGGGGCUACGCCCUGAGAGCCCCCACCUCCGUGAGGACCACAGUUAGGAAUAUGUGGGGGUGUCGGGGACCUCUGCUCAAGAGGAGGUUUCAGGUGCUUGUGCCACAAAAAUAACACGGUGACUAUGUGAGGUGACAGGCGUGUUGCUUUUCCUGACUGCGGUAACCAUUUCGCUGUGCAUACGUGUGUCAAAACACCGUGUCAUGUACUUAAGUACGCACGAUAAGGAAAAGAAGCCUGGGGUGUAUUAAAAGCCACUGUCAGACUUGGAAGACGAUAAAUAUAAAGAUUCUAUUCCCAGGUGUGUCAAAAUACGGCAUAGCCCAUAAGACCCAGCUGUUCCACUCCUGAUACUUAUUCAAAAGAGCUAAAAUCAGCAUGCAUUUCAGCGUUUACGGCAGCGCAAUCCUGGUGCUCAGGUUAUGAAAUCAGCUGAGAUGUCCAUCAGUAGGUGAGGGGGUAGAGAAAAUGUGGUAUAUACACACACAGUGAAGUUCUACUCAGCACGAAGAAGAAUGGUAUGUCAUUUGCUAGUAAAUGGGAGAAACUGGAGAACUCGCGGUAUGUAAAUAAGCCACUCAGGAAGUCAAGGGUCAAAUGUUUUCUGUCAUGUGCAGAAGCUAUGGGGGGUAAAAAAAAAAAGGAGAUCUUGCCAAAGUAGAGAUUGGUAGAGAAAUGGGGAACCGAGGGGGACGGAAGAGUGGGAGAAGAGAGUGGUACUGGGGAUUAAAAGGGAGGAAAUGGUCAUCUGCAUCUAUGAAUAUGUCCAGAUGAGCCCCACUGUUAUGUGAAAGCAUAAUGCACUAGCAACAAAAAGGAAAAUGCCAAAAAAAAAAAAAGAGUGUGAUAACGAAUUUCUUAAAGGGAGAUCUUUGUCCUGUUGGGGAUUCACAGAGUGUGGGCUCCAGAAAACAGUCGUAGAACGGGGCGGUGGGGGGGGAUCACGGCAGAAUGACCCAGAACAGGGUGUUCGCUCAGUCCUUUCCCUUUUCCAUAAAUGACCUUGUCUGUGCCCUGCUUUGAGCCGGUCGGUUUUCCAUUUUGUGACACUCGUGGCUGUGCUGGAUGGCCAGGGACUCAUGCGCCCUGAUCUUUGGGUGCAGCUCUAGCACUGUAUUAAUCUCAAGUUGUCUGUGUCAGGUUGUGAUUUAUGGAACUCUCUAGAACUCUUUAUGUGUUGAUGAGGACAUGGAGAACUUGGAACUCAGACUCUGCUGGAGGAACAGAAAAUGAAGCAGCCACUUUGGAAAAAACAGUUCAGCACUUCCUGAAGAAUUUAACCCUUCCUCUCAUGUGGUCCAGCAGUCCAUUCCUAGUUAUUUACCCAAGAGAAGUAGAAGGGUAUGUUCCUGCAAAGCCUGAGUUCCAUUUUAUUUUUGAUUGACAUCUAGUAAUUGCACACCCUGACAUGGUACAAUGUGAAGUUUCCAAUCACGUAUUACAUUGCAUGAUGAUCAAAUCAGGGCAUGGAACAUAUCCAUCACCUCAAAUAUAUAUCUGUUUCUUUGUAGAGAAAUGUUCAAAGCCUCUCUUCCAGCUAUUUCAAAGUGCACAGGUCAUUACUGUGGACUGUAUUAAGCCCUGUNAUCCAUAGUAAAUGAAGUUGGCGGUUGCUGGGGGGAAAGACUUGGGUAAGCCAUAGCAAACCGAGAGGUGGAAAGUUGUGAUGAUGGACACAUUCAUUAUAUGGAUGUGGUGACGGUUUCACGGGUGUAUUUAUGGAUCAAAAUGCCAAAUCAUGUACUUUGGACAUGUACAAUUUGCCAUAGGUCAAUUAUGCCGCAAGGGAGCUGAUAAACAUUCCCGUGUGUGGCUGCCUGGGGCCAAGUGUCCAUCAAGGUCAGGGUUCUGAGGGCAGUGCCGUGCCAGGGCUGGGGUGCUGGGUUUCUGUUUUCGUGACUAAAAGGCUCAGGGGUCACUCCAGUUGAACUGGGCUGACUGGGCUGUGCAAAAUAACCACACAAGAGACACAAAUACCUUUUUCUUUGGGGUCGCUGUGACGGCUCCUCUGACCUUAAGGGUCCCCAGAAAGAGAGAGCGCGAGAGCACGCGCUGACCCCUUUUAUUGAGGAGAAGCUAUUCAAAUGAGGCAAGGGGUCAGGUUUCAGGGGGCUGAGUCUAGCUUCAUGAUGUCCACUGUCAGCAGGUUGACUGACAUCUGGGUAGGCCACACCCAAGGGCACAGUAAGAGAGGGGGACACACCCAAGGCACUUCCAUGGAAGAUUCUAUCCUAAACAGGGCAAGGGGUUAUAUUACAAAGGAACAGGUGAGCAUAGCUUCACCCAUGGGGCUGUAGCAAGACACACUGACCCUCGAACCCAAGAAGGGUGGGGGCUCUGCCACAUUUCUGUGACUGAUCGCCUCAGCACCCAGCUGGGGAGUGUGACUCAGUCACGUGCAAGGUUGGUCUCCCACACUGGGGGAUGCUGUAGAGAACGUGAGGAAUACAAAGGCCUCAGGGCCCUGCAGCUGCUUCUCACGCCACAGAAUCAUUUAGAGAAACAAUGACAAUCUCAGCUUCCCCACAUUCUCAGUGCAACUUGCCGGUUGCAAGCCUGGUUCCUGUGGUUACCACACUAAACAAUCUCUUGUCUGUUUCAGUCAUAAGGUUGGAGAAUCAGAAAAACCACACUCAGUCCUUCACCAUCAGGGCUGCCAGGUGGCAGACUCCAGGGUCAGGAAGCAUCUCCCCCGACGGCUCAUUAGACAAAGGCCAUGUUCCUGUAUCCUGAGCUCUGGACAGCCUCCAGGGGUCCAUGGCAAAAUCAGAACCCGUGGUGAUCACGACACACGCACAAACAUGCGUGUGACAGAUCAUUCUAUUGUGCACCUUGAAUUUAUUGAAUCUUUGUCCAUUAAAUAUUUUAAAAUGAAAACUACCUUAAUUCCUCAAACAACCAUGAAAAAAGUAAAAAACAAAACAAAACAAACAAACAAACAAACAAACCCAGAGGCCAAGGAUUACACAGAAAAUAGAACAUUGCUAAUUAAACAUGGCAAAAAUUUGGGAUGUACAUGCAUUCAAGGGCAAAUCAGUCAAGGCAGGACCAUGAUUGUCAACUGAACUCGUUUUAUAAAUGUGCAGGUCGGAGUCUAUGUUCAUUGCACCAAUUAGAGUGGCUGGAAGUAAACCUCGUGCUUUGCCCAUCUAAAACCUAGCUUUGCUCCUCCCUAGACAAUUAAGAUGCCAGAAAUGACUCAGGAUCAUGUAGAAGAAGCAGCUAAAAUAUUCUGGGAGGAAGGGAUGAGAUCUAGCCUGUCUUUGUAGCCAUGAUGAUUAAGAAGACUCUGCUGCCAUUAAAAUGAUCUUCUUGGUGACGGUAGGGAAGAGGGAAGUCGGGGGAGAGUCCAGCCUGUACAGGAUCAGCAGCACUUGACUCCCCGUGGGGAAGGAGAAUACUCACCACUUUAGUGAUGUAGUCUCAGUGUCAUCUUUUCCCCCAAUUCAUACAUUGGAACCUGAUACCCAUUUUUAUUGGCAGCGAUGGGGAUGCACCUAGGGCCUAGUGCAUGCUAGGCCGUUGCUCUAGCACUCAGCUACUUCUCCCUCCCUCCAGACUGAGAAGGGUGAAUGGUUCCUAACUGGACACUCAAUGCUUGCCCUUGAAGCUUCAAGUAGUCAUUUUACCUCCAAGGCCCAUUACAAGCUGGGGAAUAGCUAAUCCACUUACCCGUAAAUCGGCUCUGCUGAGGAUAACAAGACUCCAAGGCACUUUCCAGUCCCAUGGAUCCUGUAUGAGCAUCAGGAAGACACCUGAAAACCUUUUCAAUUUGGAAGGAGCCGUACAAUAGAUGGGAGUGAUGUGUGCAAUAAUACUCGGGGUGCAGCAUUUCCCACAUGUAUUUCUACUGUGUGUGGAGCUAGAAGAGAAGAAUCUCAGUGUAGGCGCAUCACAGGAUGAAAAGGGCCCAGGUCAUGGUGGUGAUGUGUUCAGGAGACACGUCCAACUCAUACCAGCCAGAAUAUGAGGGAGAAAUAAUUUUCCCUGUGCUCCUCGACUGACAGAGGAAGCUGCAGGCAGCAGCAUCUGGUACCAGUUGCCCUGAGUAACAAUAAGCAUCCUCUUGUAGUGUUUAGGGGACCGAGUGUAAGCAGGUCCUACGGCACUGCAGGCUGCAUGAGCCAGUGGUGCACACUCCUGGGAGAGGCUCCCUGCCCCACCCCCAUUUAUGGCUUUGGGGGCAUUCGUUAUAUGAACACUAAAAGGCUUUCAAAUAAGUUUUCCCUUUCUGCUUAAAUUAACCUGAGUCCAAUUUUGAAGGAAAAAGGGAGGUUUUGCAAAACACAGGCCACAACCAAGGUGACACAAAUCUACCUAGAAAACCAACUUGGUCCUUUCCUAAUUCUGAAAACAGGAAUCAUAAAGAAUUCAAUAUAUGUGUGCUGUACAUGGUGACCAAAAAAUAGAGCCAACGUGUUGGAAAGCGUUUCCAGCUAGUUUGGUCUUCUCGUUGUAGCGGGAGAGACAGGCGCCAACAUUAUCACCCAGCUCCUCGAGGUACGUGCCUGAGCAACGGCAACGGCAACUUCAAGACAAGAGCCCAGCUCCCUCGAGUCUCAUUACCGGUGGUUUUUAUUGCCUGUGGCCCCUGGGGAAGGCACGAGCUCACAGAGGGCUUCUUCUCCUCCGGCUACUGAAGGCAGAUCAUGUCCUCAGGGAUGACAUUCUGGAUGCUUCCAGGAGACACUGUUUGUAAUGGCCGGGUUCAAAUGAGAGGAAGCGAGAACAACUGCAUAAAUACGUUCUGUGGGGGCAAUUUGCCCUUCAUCAAGCCAUAAUAUUUGAACAUUAUCACUUUUAUUGGAAAUUGUGCCUGCAAGGAGAACGCACGAUGUUGGAAUUUCUGUGAUCCUGUUCCAAAACAUAACCUGUGACUCCAGGGAAAGUAAAGGCAAGAUUCAGAGGAAAUGCCCUCUAACUAGCAAGGGUGUCGAUUCAUUACCCCCUCUGCCGACUCUGGUGCACCUUGGUGUUCUGAAUCUCAAGAAGGAGAAAUGGUCCUGAUGUGCACAGAAUACAAAACAGACCGGCAAUUUAACAGAAAUUCAGGGAUAGAAAAGAGAUGGGAUGAGACCCUGCCCAGACUCUUCAUUUAACAAGUUGGGAGCUGAGCCUCCAGGAAGAUAAAUGAAUCGGCCAAAGUUGCAUCGUGGAGUAAGGCCAUGCUCAUUGCUAGGUUUCAUGUGUCAGUUUGCGUGAAAUUGGAAUUCUGUUUUGGAGCAUAAAGCAGUGUUCUUCAGACUUCAGUGUGGUUAGGGAUUAUGUGGGGGAUCUGAUUAAAACCAGAUCCUGAUGGGUAUGAUUAAGAUGUUUCUGGGAUCUGCCUUUCUAACACACCCCCAGACCGAUGCUAAUGGCUCACAGAUAUGAACUUGGGUACACAUUGGAAUCACUCCAGCAGCUUUAAAAAUACUGAUUCCUCGGUGUCCAUCUGCUCUGGUUUGGAUCUAUGGUGUCCCCUAAAAGCUCAUGUGAGACAUUCCUGCAAGAAUGUUCAGAGGUGAAAUUAUUAGGUGAUGGGAGUUACAACCUAAUCACUGGAUGAAUCCACUGGUACAGAUUAACUGGGAAGCAGCUGCAGGCAAGUAGGGUGUGGCUAGAGGAAAUAGAUUACAGGGGAAAUGCCUUUAGGGUUUCUAUUUUGUUCUGGUGAAUGUGAUGCUGUCUCUUUCUCUCUCCAGCUUCCUGGCUGUCUGUCCUUGGUCCCACCCUCCCGCCAUGAUGCUCUGCCAUUGUCUCAGGCCCAGAGCCAUGGAGUUGGCUAACUGUGAACUGAACCUCUGAAACCUGAGCCGGAAUGAACUUCCCACGCUCUCCAUUGCUCUUGUCAGGUUUUCUGUCAUCGUGAUGCAAAGCUGUCUAACUUACCGUCGAUGAAUGGAAAAAUAAUGAAACACGGUGGACCAUCCUGAAGAUGUAAAACAUGAGUGAAAUCCUGCUAUUUGUAGCAACAUAGACGAUCGUGGAGGACAUUACGUUAAGAAAGAAGCCAGGUGUAGAAAGAAAAGCAUGAGAGGCUCUCACUUCCACGUGGGAUCUAAAAGUGUUCUGGAACACUGGUUACCAGAGGCUGGGAAGGGAGACAGCGACCGGGAAUGGUUCCUGGGGACAGAGGUGCCCUGGUAGGGGUGGGGGUAACUUCUAGGAUUCUGUAGCACAAUAGGGCAGCUGGGGUCAGCACCACUUAACUGCACGUUUCAAAAUAACUGAUUUUGAAUUUUCCCAACACAAAGAAAUGAUAAGUGUUGGAGGUUAUAGUUACGUCAGUUAUUCUGAUCUGUGUUGAAAUAUCACACUGUACCCCAUAAAUAUAUGCAAUCAUUAUGGGCCAAUUAAAAAAUCAAGAUUUUUUUUUUAAAUACUGUUUUCUAGGCCCACUCCUGCUAGAGAGCCUGAUUAAUUUGCUCUGAGGUACGACCUGGACAUUGAGAUUCUUAAAUGCUCCUCAAAUGAUUUGAAUAUGUAGCCAAGUUUGAGUAUCGCUGCUGUAGAUUACUUUUACUUGUAAAGUAAUUAUUUAUGAGGAGGAUGGCAUUUAGGACGACGUUUUAGAGAAUCUGCACCAUCCUUUGGUCCCAGUGAGUUAAUGAGAGUCGGUUCAGAGAGGUGAGGCUUGGCAAAUUAACUAUCACACAGUUGGUGAGGAAGCUGACCCUCAUGGAAAGCAGUUUCCAAAGUGGAGAGAACAAACAAUCAUCUUGACGAAGGGAGUUUCCUAUAACAAACAUCAUAACCUAAUAGAGGUUAGAAGUCAGAAGACAUCAGAAAUGUUUGUUAAACAUUUACUUUAAUAUAACAGGAAAACUCUGGUUCUGUUAGUCAACAACAGAUUUAGAUCCUCCUUCAUCCUAACAAGGUAGGGAAGAAGGAGAGAUUUAGGCUGAUUUUAAUGUCAAUGGACACCAAACUGCUAAGAUAACGACAUAAAAGUUAUUAUCUCAAUGCUUUUAGUAUUUCAGAGGUGCUCACAUCUAAGUCUUUUUUUUUUGAGUUUCACUUGAACUGCUUGCCCCCAAAUUCCCAUAACUUCUAAUUUUAAAUUCAGUUUUAAUUAAGGCUGAAUUCAAGGUACCUUCGGUUCCCCACAUCUAUGGAUUCAACCAACUGUUGAUCAAAAAAAAUUGGCAUCUGGGCUGAGUACAUUGAGCUCCUUGGCCCUGUCACCCCCGCCCUCAAAUCUACAGUGUGACAACUACUCACAUAGCAUUUGCAUUGUAUUAGGAACUAUAAAUUAUCUAGAGAUGAAUUAAAGUAUAAAGAAGUGUAGGCGUAUUAUAUGCAAAUACUGUACCACUUCCUAUAAGGACAGAGAGCACCCACAGAUUUUGGUAUCUGUGGGGAGUUCCUGGGAAUCACCCCUAUGGACACUGAGAGAGGACUGCAGUUAGAAGUCACCAUAAUUUAUUUCCACCCCAUCACGAGAUCUCUGUGCCCAAAGACUAGCCCUUUGCCCCAGGUGUGUGGGAUUCCGUUCCGAGUCUGAAGGCUGUCCCUCUUCUUUACCAAGUUUCCACACCUGAGUUGGGACACCUGUUUGUCAACUGCCAGUCAAUCAACACCAACCCUGCGGGAGAGGAAACAGGAAUCCCAGUUUCUCAUUCCCACAUCCUCAUCGCUGACGUAUUUUCUGGGAUCUUUAUCAUUAGAUUACCAAGUUUUCUUCCAGAAGGCACUGAGGCCUUGAAAGUGAAUCGAUUCCAAAGUUUAAAGAGGAAAUCGCCUGAGAGAGAAAUGCAGGCUUGUCUUGGGUUAGAAAUGGAGACCUCUGCUGAUCAGCAAGAAUCUCUGGGAGGUCAUUUUUAUGUAUUCUACCUUGGCCAGAAAAAACACUGACCUUGGCAAACAAAUCAGAAUUCAGAUCCCAUGAGCUGCUUCUCUUUGGGGUCACCGUCUGUCCUUCAAGCUGGCUUUAAACAUCAGACCAAAGUGUUCACUCAUCAGAACAGGCGAGCCCGGCUAUGGUUUAUUACAUGUGAAAGUUGCUGCCUAAGACGGUUUAAGCCUUCUUCCCCGGAGCAUGCGGUGUAUUAGUCACUGGAGUCCAUAGAAACAAUGCAGAGGGUCUGAUUCCCCUGAAAACUCGAGCUCUCUGGGGCAUGCUCUAGAAAGAUGUGGCAGGAGUGAAGCACAGCUAAGAUGUGCCAGGUGUCAUGUGCAGAAUAAUGGACCCCCAAAUCCACAUGCUGAUCCCCAGAAGCUGUGAAUGGGUUAGGGUAUGUGGCAAAAGUUGCAGAUGGAAUUAAGGUUGCUAUUCCGCUGACCUUGAGGGCAGAUAUUAUCCUGGAUUAUCUGGGUGGGCCCCACAUAAUCAUGAGGGGCCAUAGAGGUGAAAAAGGAAGCAGAGUGACAGAAACAAAGAGGUGAAGAUAUGCAAAGGACUUGGCCUGAUGGUGCUUGCUUUGAAGAUGGAAGAACGAUCCUGUCUUAGUUGGUUUUCUGUUGCUAUAACUGUAUGCUGCAGACAAGGUAAUUUAUAAAGACUCGAGGUUUGCCGCAGUCUGGCUGGGCACAAAAUCACGAGCCACUCAAGCAGGAACAAAGUUUAUUUUUUGAAACUGCCGCCAAUGUCCGGUACCGCCCGGGAAGAUUUUUUCCACCCACGCGGCCUCCUCCCGGACCCGCAGAGAGAGCUCCUCCCCCGGAACUCCCUCCUACUGUACUUCCCCAACCAAUGGGAACUCUCCAGGAGUCCCGUAGCCGGCCUAGGUGAACAGCAGGAGUCCAAUAUCCAUAUGAAUGCAAAUCUUAACAUAAUCAUAUCAUCUCAAUGGCUAGCUGGCGUCACCUUUCGACCAAAAAUGCCAUGCAUCAUAUACUUGGCUCUUAGCAUCUCCCCCCUUAUGUUUAAGUAACAAGCAAUCUGACUAGGGACCGUGCCUGUUAGGUUUGUCCAAUUCAACAUAUGGUUCUUACCCGUCAUCGGAAAACUGACUUUUAGGCGUUAGCCUCCUGUCUUAGGUUGAUACCACUGCAAUUGGAUCAUACCCGUCACUGACUACCGGUCCAGCAUAUAGCCAUACUUGUGGAUAGGCCUAUGUACCAGUGGGGGGGUGAGGUUCUUUGCCUCACAUCUGUUGGCCCCCAAAUUUGGCCUUGGUGCCGGUGGGGGGGUGAGGUUCUUUACUUCACCUCUGUUGGCCCCCAAAAUUAGACCAUCACUAGUAGAAGGGAGGAGGAUACAGAAAUGUCAUGACACCAAGUCAAUUAACGGCUCCUAGGAAAAAUUGCAUCACUGGUGACACAUCAGCAAAGAUACGCUAGCACUAUCAUAAUUCACUGCAUCAACAAAUAGAUCACAAAGCAUACAAGUGAUACAUAGUCCAGGCAAGUUCUGUAAGCAGUUCAAAGCAGAGGAAUCUAUCAAUAUGUCCAUAUCCUCCCAAAAUAAAGCAUACAAGUGAUACAUAGUCCAGGCAAGUUUUGUAAGCAGUUCAAAGCAGAGGAAUCUAUCAAUAUGUCCAUAUCCUUCCAAAAUAAAUCGACUCAUUGAUUGAGCAUUACUUGGUGAGUUAUAAACCAUUGAUGUAUCAGUUUACACGGUUUGUUGUGAUAACUCUCGAAGAAGUUGUAGUUUGGUUUUAUCUUUGUCUUCACCGGCACUGGGAUGAAAAUAGGAAUUUUGACAAUGAUGCUAAAAAAAAUAUGUAACAUUUCAACAGGUAACAAGAAAACAAUAUUUAGAACAAUUUACAUUAUCCUGAACAGAAUAAUAAAAUAUAAUGAAAAGGAAAGGUGAAAGUAAACAAACAUAUCUGUUAACCUUCUAUUUGUUC
This 18798-nucleotide long non-coding RNA is filed under the name Marmota monax (woodchuck). The record is from RNAcentral. Lineage: Eukaryota; Metazoa; Chordata; Mammalia; Rodentia; Sciuridae.